Long non-coding RNA from Balaenoptera acutorostrata (minke whale), 3989 nucleotides. RefSeq lists it as uncharacterized. NCBI's taxonomy places the organism in Eukaryota, Metazoa, Chordata, Mammalia, Artiodactyla, Balaenopteridae. The transcript is spliced from 4 exons. The record is from RefSeq and is a predicted model, not a curated record.
GCCGCCACGAGUGAGUGGUUCAGCUUGGCCCCGGCUCGUUGUGCUCGCCUCACACCGGCCGGAGUUGGCAGCAGCGCUGGAGGCCCCGGGCCGGUGACCACAAAGAGGGAGCCGGGGGCCGGACGGGAGCGCGGCGGCGGCGGCGGCGGUGGCGGCGGCGGCGGCGGCGCCGGCUGAGGCCCAGGCCAGGCCCCCUCCCCUCAGCCUCCCGCCGGCCCGCCCGCCUGCCCCGCCCCCGCCGGCGGCGCCCCGCCCCUCCCCUAACCGCCAGACUAGCCUGGUGCGGGGCCGCGCGCGAAGACAUGGGGGAGAAGCUGAGGCUGGAGUCGCCCGUGGGGGCCGAGCCCGCCGUCUACCCGUGGCCGCUGCCGGUCUACGUUGUGACAGAAAUAAAGUUUCCAGAAGUUGUGUUCCUGCAAUAAGAAAUAAAGAUGUGACCUUCCAGUUGUGUAAAGCUCAUGAAUGCUGUGUAAGUGCGUCGGGUGCAAUAAGGAACCUGGAGCUAAAUGGGCUAGUUCUGAGAGAGAGAGACUUAACUAUGUUAACAAAGGAAAUCCAUCUCCGUCCUUUGCGGGGGCAGUCCCGAGCUCAUGUUUUAACGGACGCGAAUGCAAACCGUGGUUCUCACGUGACUUUCUGAAGAGCCCCCGCAGCAGGCCCAGGUACCUUGAGUGGACUAAGUCUCACUUUAUGGCAGUGGCAUCAGAUGGCGGCUACAGAAGGUUGCCGACGUCCCUGUGUGCUCUGACAGGCUCUGCAGACCGGGGGACGAAAGGACCAAGGAACUCUGACCGCCCUCGGGAAUCCCAAGUGACUGGAGGGACACCGCGUCAGGGCCCCAGGCAGUGUCGCCCACUGUUCCGGAGGCGGGCGGAGGCUCCGCAGCUUCAUUUCGUCCCGUCCCUUCCAGUAUUUAAAAUUAUUGUCAAGAUGCUGGGUUAACUCAGGCAGGUCUACAAAGGCGUCCCAAGCAGCAAACAUGUCUGUGAUGAACAAUGAAAGAGAUUUGGGAUUUGGGGAUGCUGCAGGUAUUUCUGUCAAAAACUGGCAUCACCACAGGCAAGUCCUGUCGCUUCUCUUCAUCAGUCUGAGAAAAACAUUCGUCUGAGAUACGUGCGGCCCACUCAAUGCACUGCUCCAGGGGUCGGCAGGGAUUGGACACAUCAGCACACUUAAUCAGUCAGGCCCCCGUCUCCUCAGUGGGAGGUGACUGGAUGGUACCGGCUUCCUGACGUUGACUCCCUGCUCGGGGCAGAUGGCAGGCGCUGGAGCAGCAGGGUGGUCCCGGUCAGAUGUGGCAGCCUCCCAGGAGGGCAAAACCAGCGGGUGACAGCCCACCGGGGCCCCACGGCGGGGCGGGCGGCGGGGCCGGCGGCGGUGGCGGAGACAGGUACGAAAUUUGCAUAGUAAAUUGCCCAUGUAGGACCGGUUGUGCGCCAAGCGAUCCGAGAACAGAGUGAAACUGGGAGAGCUUCUCCUUAGCUUCACCUCCUCUCAAGGUCUAGCACGCACUGGACACUGGAUGGCUCAGCCUGGCGCUUGUGACAUGUCCAUUGUACUCGUCACAGAGAAAGGGCGGGCGGGGCAGGGCGGGGGGCGCAUGCAAGCCCAGCCCCUGGAGAAACCCCGGCCCAAAGGCAAAGGGCGGGGCCCCAGAGCCCGACCCCUUCUGGACUUUCUAGUGGCUGGGACUUCUCGCUGUGGGUGGCAGGUGUUUGGCACCGGAUGGACCACCAUGCGGAGACUGUUGGGGACUGUGGAAGCCUUCUCCUCCAGAGCUCACCCUGCCUGGGCACCGGCUCUGCAGGCCCCUCAGCCCUGCGUAUGUAUCGGCCAGCCCUUCCCCCCCAAGGGGCCCAGGGACCAGAGCCUGUUCAGAGCUGAGUGCAGGAGGCACCCAGAGCUUGCCAGGCUGUGGCCCGCCUCCUCCAGGGACCUCCCCAGCUUCUCUGCGAGGCCUGAUGACGGGAGCACCUUCUCCAGGGCUGCUCAGCUGCCAGCAUCACCAUGAGCCAGGUGGCGAAGGUUUCUGAGCAGGGGAUGCAGAGCCCUGACCCGCCUGGGUGCUGCAGCCCACGAUGUCCCUUCCUGGCAGAUAGGUUCUUUCUUCACUUCCUUUUCGAAAUUUGGUAAAACAACAUUUAAACCUUCGACUGUUCUUCAGGGUAUACAGAUGGUAGUGGCUUAGCCGGGAUUCGAAGCAAGGCUGUGUGAUUCCAGAGCUCGUGCUCUGGACUGUGGCGCCUCCUUAUCAUAUAUGCUUCAUGUGUUACUUUUGUUUUUUUUUCUUGUGGCCCUUAUGGUACUUAGCCCUAAGUGCCAUACGUGUGAUGAACACAUACACUGCCCUGUAGGAGGUCUUCUUUUGUUCAACGCAUGAAUUGGUCAUCCACCACACGGGGUUCUAGUCUCAGAAGAUACAGGUCAGGGAGCACCAGCUGUCAGCAUAGCAGCGCCCCACAUUUCUAAUUGAGGCUUGCAGCCCAGAUUUUCCCUUUGGUCUAGUGUGAAGGAUCCAGAUAUGUAAAGCUUAUAUUCUAGACAAAUCAUGGGCUAUCCGGAAAGAAAUUCACCAGUAAAUUAUUCCAGUUUCUCUGGCCUUCCUGGAGUAUAUCCAGUAAGGCAUCUCAUUCAUGUCUGGCAAGCAAAUAUAUCAUUUAUUGCAACUUCAUCGUGGAGUGAUGUAUUGGUUUAAAGUACGAUCAACACAAUUUGGUCAUUGUGAGUAUGCCAGCUGGGUCCACUGUUUACUACACAUAUGUAACUCUAGCGAUUCUUAUGCCCAAGAGAGGAGACAUACUCUUGGGUGUCUAGGGCAAGGGAAACAUGUGUUGUUAUUCAGGAGCUGGAAGCUUCAGCAUGACAGGAAAGAAUUGAAAAAUCCUGGUCUACACAUGACUUUACCUUGUUUGAAACUUGUUUUUUUGGCUUGCUUCAUUGGAGUGUUUUCUCUCUCCUGGGGCUGACAUUGUGUGUUAUGUAUCACGCAUGUGACAUGUAGAAGUUUCAGAACCCAGAGUCAUAUAGAUCAAUAAAAAUGUAUUUAUAUAUUUUAGUUUAAAAUCUAUUGAAAAUAACACUGGGCAUAAUUCAUAUAUUCCAAAAUUAGUUUGACCCUCUGCCCAUGAGAUUCUUUUUAUGAUAUGUGACAGCUAAUUUGGACUUCCAUCCCCAAUAAACUUUGAGGUUUGAGGACACAAAAGGUUUUGCUCAGACCUAAAUUCUGUCUGAAAAAAAGGGCUAAAUAUUAUAAGCCCUUUCUAACCUCUCCAGGAGCAGAAAUGAUUUACAGCUGUGGCAUUGAACCAUAGUUCCUUGAUCUCAUUUGAGAAGAGUUCUGUAAGAAACGAUGUCUUGAUUUUUGUUUGUUUUGUUUGUUCCCUGUUUUCUUGUCUUACUUACCAACAAUCCAUUGUAAUUCAUCAGUUAGUAUGGCAGCAGGCUGGGUGUUCCCUGGAGCUCAUUAAAUGAACUUUUGUUCCUAAAAUGAUGUUUGUCUCCUUGUUUUCAGCCCCUCUUCUUUCCUCUGCCCUUUACUAUAACCAGAGCUCAGCAAAAGCUGACUGGCUUUGUGCAGACCCUACUUAGGGUAGUCUUUUCUUAAUUAUUUUAUUCAUGGCUCCUCCAUUUCAUUGUUUGCCUUCUCAAAAUGUGUUGAAAUCUUUCUGUGGUUGAUGACUUCCACAAUGUCUUGGCUUUUAUUAGUUGCUUAAUUUUGGUAUUUCUACAGUUUUAUUUAAAUAUGGUUUCAGGAGGAACAGAAAGUAAAUGUUUCCUAGUCUGCCAUCUUGAGCUGAAAACCCCUGUUGAUUUUAGCAUCCAGUGUUCCCAUGGGAAAACACCCAACCCUGGCAUUAAUAGAUGUAACACUCAAGAUUUCAGCUUUUCUUGAGCAAUCACUAAGGAUUUAAUAUGUGGUCAUUUCUAAUGGGACAAUAAUAACUGUCUCAUGGAGUUGAUUUGAGGAUUAAAUUAGAUAAUGAACAUGA